CGUAGGGUGAACCUGCGGAAGGAUCAUUAAAAACGAAAAUGAAGCCUAAGUACCUACCCUAUGGUGAUUCAGAAGGUAGUGUGCCUAGGUGGAUUCUUGUCAGGGUAAGCCUGCUAUCACCCUUGAAUAUUCUACCUCUGUUGCUUUGGCGGGCCGCUCGUGCCACUGGCCUAGGCUAGUGAGUGCCCGUCGAAGGACCCUAAACUCUUAAUAUUACUGUCGUCUGAGUACUAUUCAAUAGUUAAAACUUUCAACAACGGAUCUCUUGGUUCUGGCAUCGAUGAAGAACGCAGCGAAAUGCGAUAAGUAAUGUGAAUUGCAGAAUUCAGUGAAUCAUCGAAUCUUUGAACGCACAUUGCGCCCCUUGGUAUUCCGAGGGGCAUGCCUGUUCGAGCGUCAUUAUAACCCUCAAGCUCAGCUUGGUGUUGGAGCAUACCAUCUGGUAGCCCUUAAAAUCAGUGGCGGUGCUGUCUAGGUCUAAGCGUAAUAAUCAUUCUCGCUAUAGCGCCCACACGGUCACCUGCCAUAACCCCUAAUUUCUAUGGUUGACCUCGGAUCAGGUAGGGAUACCCGCUGAACUUAAGCAUAUCAAUAAGCGGAGGAA
RNAcentral lists this ribosomal RNA (604 nucleotides) under Psilachnum staphyleae. Its description in RNAcentral is "eukaryotic LSU rRNA". The stretch from base 246 to 399 matches the Rfam family "5.8S ribosomal RNA". The record is from RNAcentral. Lineage: Eukaryota; Fungi; Ascomycota; Leotiomycetes; Helotiales; Pezizellaceae.